Sapajus apella (tufted capuchin) is the source of this 993-nucleotide RNA transcript. It is a transcript of the gene named 40S ribosomal protein S2 pseudogene, with no coding region annotated. The record is from RefSeq and is a predicted model, not a curated record. Lineage: Eukaryota; Metazoa; Chordata; Mammalia; Primates; Cebidae. The transcript has 2 exons.
UCCUAGGCUUGCAGACAGCCUAUUGUGGGACUUCACCUUGUGAUCGUGUGAGUCGAUACUUCUUAAUAAACUCCCCUUCAGCUUCUUCUCGGAUAAAACACCAAAUGGCAGAUGACGCGGGUGCAGCGGGGGAGGUGGGGCGGGGAGCGGCCCUUGGAUGGGGAAUCAGCUUCUGCGGAGGUUUCGACCUGCAGUCAGGGGCCGGGAGGGCAGAGGCCACAGAGCUCAUGGAGGCAAGGCUAAGGAUAAAGAGUGGAUGCCUGUCACCAAGCGGGGCCGCCUGGUCAAGGACAUGAAGAUAAAGUCCCUGGAGGAGAUCUACCUCUUCUUCCUGCCCAUCAAGGAAUCUGAGAUCAUUGACUUUUUCCUGGGGGCAUCUCUCAAGGACGAGGUUUUGAAGAUUAUGCCGGUGCAGAAGCAGACCCAGGUGGCCAGUGCACCAGGUUCAAGGCAUUUGUUGCCAUUGGGGACUACAAUGGCCACGUCGGUCUGGGUGUUAAGUGUUCCAAGGAGGUGGCCACUGCCAUCCGUGGGGACAUCAUCCUGGCCAAGCUCUCCAUUGUCCCCGUGCACAGAGGCUACUGGGGGAAAAAGAUCAGCAAGCCCCACACUGUCCUCCCUUGCAAGGUGACAGGUUGCUGUGGCUCUGUGCUGGUGCACCCCAUUCCCGCACCCAGGGGCACUAGCAUUGUCUCAGCACCUGUGCCCAAGAAGCUGCUCAUGAUGGCUGCAGUGAUCUCUGGAAUCCCCCAGCUCAGCUGCUGCACCAGCUCCUGCCCUCGCAGCUUCAGGGCGGGGCUGGCGAAGCUGCUGACUAAUCGUCCUGCGCAUGCGCAGCCACCUCGCGUCACGUGGCCUCGUGCCAACCAAGUUCUCAGGUGCGAGGCCUCAAGAACUUUCUGUCGUCAGUGCGGGAUCCUUGGGACGGCUUUGUUCCCACCUCGGCUGGAGCUCCAGGUCCUGGAACACCUGAGUGUGCACUUGAGAGGGUAA